CCAGCCAUAUCAUGCUGAAACACUGGUUCUUAUAUGAUCACCAAAGUUAAGCAAUGUUGAGUCUGGUCAGUACCAGGGUGGGUGACCAUUUGGGAAUAUCAAGUGCUGUAAG
Non-coding RNA from Acanthosepion pharaonis, 112 nucleotides. The record is from the annotation of a GenBank genome assembly. NCBI's taxonomy places the organism in Eukaryota, Metazoa, Mollusca, Cephalopoda, Sepiida, Sepiidae.